CACGCAAUGAAUAGGUUUAAAGGGAAACAGGAGACAAAGUUGCUUUUAGAAGAAUCCUGCUUGUUCAACGUGUUGGGCACAUUAUUAUUACUUAUCUAGCACUAACCAUGUGCUAAGCACUGUAUAUUCUCCAAAUAACUCACAGAGGCGGCUCCGCACCAGACCUCUGACUUCUGUGCCUUAGAUGGUCAGGCCUCUCAUCUGUAACCCAACAUGCGAUCCUAGCAGAAUCCAGUCAAAUCUCUAGAAGUGGACAUGAUGUUGGCCUACUCUGGACGGUGGCCGAGUCAGCUCUCGCCAGCCUCCCACGUGCCCCAGUGCGCUUGCUAUUUCAGUCACAGUCACCAAGUGCUUCCGUCUGAACCUCUUGAGGCUACAAGGACGUUAGAAGGCAGGCCUUUGUGGAAUCCAGUGAGAACAUGUGCGUUUCACUUCCAAACCUCUAUUCAAGUUAACCCAACUGAAAUCAAUCACCUGAUUCCUUUUGAAAGAAUCUUG
This 498-nucleotide long non-coding RNA is filed under the name Equus asinus (donkey). Its description in RNAcentral is "lncRNA (ENSEASG00005026177.1)". Lineage: Eukaryota; Metazoa; Chordata; Mammalia; Perissodactyla; Equidae. The record is from RNAcentral.